Molecule: ribosomal RNA, 492 nt
Filed under: uncultured bacterium
Lineage: Bacteria
Description: partial 16S ribosomal RNA
Rfam family: Bacterial small subunit ribosomal RNA
Source: RNAcentral
AGUGAACGCUGGCGGUAGGCCUAACACAUGCAAGUCGAACGGCAGCACCGUAAGAGCUUGCUCUUACGGGUGGCGAGUGGCGGACGGGUGAGGAAUACAUCGGAAUCUACUUUUUCGUGGGGGAUAACGUAGGGAAACUUACGCUAAUACCGCAUACGACCUACUGGUGAAAGCAGGGGAUCUUCGGACCUUGCGCGAUUGAAUGAGCCGAUGUCGGAUUAGCUAGUUGGCGGGGUAAAGGCCCACCAAGGCGACGAUCCGUAGCUGGUCUGAGAGGAUGAUCAGCCACACUGGAACUGAGACACGGUCCAGACUCCUACGGGAGGCAGCAGUGGGGAAUAUUGGACAAUGGGCGCAAGCCUGAUCCAGCCAUACCGCGUGGGUGAAGAAGGCCUUCGGGUUGUAAAGCCCUUUUGUUGGGAAAGAAAAGCAGCAGGUUAAUACCCCGCUGUUCUGACGGUACCCAAAGAAUAAGCACCGGCUAACUUCGUG